AGAGAGUUGAACCUGCCCAGUGAAAUUUUUAACGGCCGCGGUACCCUGACCGUGCAAAGGUAGCAUAAUCAUUUGCCUUAUAAUUGAAGGCUUGUAUGAAUGGUUUAACGGGAGCAUUGCUGUCUCUUUUUUAGUAGAUAGAAUUUAACUUUUAGGUGAAGAGGCUUAAAUAUAAUUGAAAGACAAGAAGACCCUAUCGAGCUUAAAAAUUAAAUUAGGAAUAAGUUAUAAAUUUAGAUUUUCCGCUAACUCAUUUUUUAAUUGGGGCGAUUAAGGAAUAGAAGAAGCUUCCUUUAGUUUGUUUGAACUUAUAGGUAUUGAUCCAGCUAAAGCUGAUUAAAAGAAUUAGUUACCGUAGGGAUAACAGCAUAAUCUCUCUUGAGAGACCUAAUCGAAAGAGGGGGUUGUGACCUCGAUGUUGGACUAGAAUAUCCUAAAGGUGCAGAAGUCUUUAAGGGUUGGUC
This 464-nucleotide ribosomal RNA is filed under the name Brotia costula. RNAcentral's name for it is "partial large subunit ribosomal RNA". It matches the Rfam family "Bacterial large subunit ribosomal RNA", at positions 1847 to 2577 of the family's 2925-position model. Lineage: Eukaryota; Metazoa; Mollusca; Gastropoda; Pachychilidae. The record is from RNAcentral.